Molecule: long non-coding RNA, 116 nt
Organism: Strigops habroptila (Kakapo)
Lineage: Eukaryota; Metazoa; Chordata; Aves; Psittaciformes; Psittacidae
Exons: 2
Source: RefSeq, a predicted model, not a curated record
UUCACUGGAGGAAGGUUGAUUUGUAGUGGGGAUGUACAUCGGUUGGUUGGCUGUAUGGCCGAAGGAGAAGGGAGAUGAAUAAAGGUUGGCCCUGACAGGCCACAGAGUGGAUCUGG